AAUCUCUUCGUCUCGUCAAGUACUACAACUUUCCUUUUUGUUUCACUCAAUUUCGUUGAGUAUUGAAGAAGUUAUACGCAUUUGAAAAAUACCCAGUUUCCGGCGACCUCCGAGGCUUUCGAGGCAGUUUCCGGCCAAACCACGGCGAACUAGGUGUUGUGCAAGGUACCAUUAUCUUUUUCUCUUCAAGGGCUACAACUUUCGUUUUUGAAUCACUUGAUUUCGUUGAGAAAUGACAAAGUUAUGGCAAUUUGAAAAACUGCCCAGAAAACGGCCGCCGGAAAAACCAGUCCGGCGACCCAAGGAAGAAGAAGGUGCUACAGUAAAAAUAAAAAAUAAAAAUAAAAUUAUUUUAAAAAUAUGUCGACGUCCGUGACGUCGAGUAGAUCACUGUGGUAUAUUCAUAUACCUAAAUUGAACACCGUAUGAGAAAGUUAUUAAGGAUUGUUGGUUAGGUGUUCAAAUAACGUUUUAUAGUUUUCACAUUUAGGUGAAAAUGUGAAUUGAUGAUCCGACCGUUGGAUCAUCACCAAACCUUGAUACGUUGUAAUACGUAAUAUUUGAGGAUUAUUGGAACUUACAGAUUGGGAAUCCGAUUUGCGGAUCUUCCGGAAUUGGAAUUGUAAGUCCAUAAUAUAAAAUGUUAACCGUCACUUAGUUUUGGAAAUUGACGGAGAUCCGACCGUUGGAUGGUAAUGAAAUUUUAGGAUGUUAUCCUAGAGAUAUAUUGUGGACCUCUGGAAGUUAUGGAUUUAAAAUCUGAGGGGUGGAUCUUCCGGAUCAAUCUACGUAGUGACGUAUUUUAUAUAAGUUAUAUAUUCUAUCGAUAUGAAUUCUGAGGUUGGAUUUGAUUACUAUUCUAGGCGGCGAUCGUCGUGACGCCUUGUUGUGAGGUGCUAGGGAGUUGUUGGACGAACUCCAGGUGAGUGGGCAGUUUUGUUUUCCGUAUAUAUAUAUAUACUUAACGUUUUCCCAGAAAUUGAAAAUGCAUGAAAUUAUGUUUAAAAUGAAAUGCAUAUGAGUUAUGUGGAAAAACGGGAAGUGAAAUACCAUGCAUAGAAUUGAUAUGAAAAGUAUAUAGAAAUGUGAGUUGAAAUGCCAUGCAUGAAUUAAUAUAUAUGAUGCAUAUGUAUGAAUUGGUGCGGUGGACGCACAAGUAAGAAUUGAUUUAUGAUGCAUAUGUAUGAAUUGGUGCGGUGGACGCACAGGUAAGAAUUGAUUUAUGAUGCAUAUGUAUGAAUUGGUGCGGUGGACGCACAGGUAAGAAUUGAUUUAUGAUGCAUAUGUAUGAAAUGGUGCGGUGGACGCACAGAUGAGUAUUUAAUUACUGUUAUGAUGAUGAUGAUGAUAUAUAUAUUGAGCUCAAAUCCUGCACCAUGGUUUAGUGCUUAUAUAGUAUUCACCGCAUCGCACGCUCGCCUUGGAUCCAAGUAGAUGCUAGUCGUACAGUCCACGCGGAGUGGGUACGACAGACCAGUCGCGAGAGUGUUAGUGAGAUUCCGACUGGUGGGUGACCUUAGAUUAUGUGCACAGAUGAUUUAUGAGAAGCACUAGAGCGUAACUUGCGUUGCAGAAGGCCGGACGGGUCACAGAGGUGACUCCGGUAGAGUGAUAAUGAUAGAUUUUGAGCUCUAGGUUCAACCGUACAGGGCUAUUAGAGGGCCUACGGUUGAUUACUUUCUUGCACCUGAUAUGAUUAUGUUGAUGCAUUCAUACCUUAUUACUGUUGAGAUGAUGUGGCAUGGCAUAAUUAAUAUGAGAAAUGUUGAGAUGAUGUGGCAUGGCAUAACUGAUAUGAAAAAUGUUGAAAAAGUGAAAUGAAGUAUUGAGAAUAUAUAUGUAUAUUUAUAUUUUACAUUUCUGGGAAAGUAUACAGGUUUUACGGAGAGGGGUUACAACGUUAUGAGAAAUGUUUGGAUUUGGAAAAGAAUUGUUUUACUGACCCACUCAAUUUUGGUUUUGCGCCCCUCCAGGUUCAGGAAUCACAAAGGUGUGGUGACUACGAGGAAUACGGCGGGGUUCUGACAGAUUGACAAAAUUAGGACUCACCUUCGGGUGUAUCAACUUAUAAAUUGUAUCUUAAAGCUUCCGUACUGUGCAAAUGGUUACGUCACUCUCACGUGACGGCCAGCAUGCCCUCAUUCGGGACGGGGUGUGUCAGUUGGUAUCAGAGCAUGGUUGCAAUCUUGGACAUCUUGAGAAGUUUCUAGUGAAUUCUGUCAGAACUACACCGCCUCGUAGCACACCACGUAGUUAGAGGAAUUUAGUCUCCCUAAUAUAGCGGUUUUGGGGGGAAACUAUUACUAUGGUGAUUCAGUCUAUUGUCUAAAGGGGCAUUUUAAGAUGGGUUAUGAGUUGAAUUUGAAUCACUUAAGAGAAAUGAUGAACCUGAGGGAGCGAAGUAACGGUUUAACCAUUUGGAAAAGAUGUUUCGGAUUAUGCAAGUCAAAGGAAUCUUCCUUCUGACAAGGGGUCGAGAUGACUACCUGGUUUGAGUAUGAACGUGUAUCUUGAUGGAAGCAGGAGUAUUAAUUGUUGUCACCAGAGGAAUCAGUCGAUUUAAAAUUGUUUAAGGACUUGUUUAAGGAAAAGUUUAUCCCUCCGGCAUUUAUCGAUGGUAGUAAACAAGAGUUUACAAAUAUGAGACAAGGAAGGUGAUGAUCGAGGGAUAUUAUAGAAAGUUUUCAGACUUGCCUCGUUCCAUCCAGAUAUUGUUGUUAAUUUGGUGGAGGUGUUAUGUUGUUUUAAGCUGGGUGGCAAAAAGGGAAGUGGUAUUUUGGGUGACCACUAUCCAUUAUACUUCUUACCAGGAAUAUACGAGAUGCUGUUGAGUCUUGAGGACUCUGAGAACAUGAGCAACGAGAAUAAAGAAGAAUAAGAAAUGAAUGGGAAUUAAAAGAAGACGAUAAAGUUAAUGAUUCGUCAUAUCAAGGAGAUAGAAAGAUUCAGAGCUUCGAAAGAAGUGAAGCUAGAGUUAAUUCUUCCAGCUGAGGUUUUAAUGUCGCUGGUCAGAGUAAAAGUGAUGGAUAUACUGGUAAUCCCAGAUAUUUGAGACAAGGUGUCUCGAGUAAAGGAAAUGUACCUUGUGCAGCAGGUACAAAAUUAACACUUUGGGAAGUGUGAAAUUAAUGAAUGUGUUUAUGUGAACAGAGGGGACACAGAAUUGUGAAUCGUCCCUAGAAUCAGUUGUACUCAAUAAUUUUCCAUGAUAUCAUAGUGUCGAUUCAGAAGAGUUAUAAACUUAGUAGUUUGGUCGGAUUGACUGUGAGUACAGAGAGAUUUGAUGAGUUAUAUGUUCAGCCGUACAGACCAUGAGAAGUGGAUUCGAUUGACACAUGAGAAAUUGGUGAGUUAUAGGCUCGGCCGUACCGACCACGCGGAGUGGAUCCGGCUGACGUAUUAUUGAGAUAAGAGUUGAAUCAACCGUAUUGGUCAUUCUAGUUGACUUCGGCUGAUAUAUUUCUUAUUAUGUAUGUUAUUACCUAGAGAGUAGUAAAUAAAUGUAGUUGAGACGAGUGUAUGUAUUUUGCCUUGAGUAACAAAAUAGUAAUGUUAUAUCUUUGAGAGUGGUUGCCUACUUAUCGAGACAACGAUGAUUUAUCAGUAUUGCGGGCUGCAGACCGUAAUAUUAAUAACUCAUUCGUGGAUUCGUUAAGCAAGCAAACCGGUAGGUUAUUUUAUGUUAGUGUUGUACUUAUUUAGAAUGCUUAAUAAUAAUAGAAUAUAUAUUGUAUCAGUUAAUUAUGUUCCAUUAGAUUGGUUGGUUAUAAUUGUGACAAGACGGAAUGUUACGGGAAACCAGUACUUUCCAUCGAUCUGGAUGACCAGAGAUUACUUUUGUAAGUAUGCAAAGUGGAUUGAGUCAGGCCGUUAUUUAUGCUGUGAGAGCAAAGAGAUUGUUUUCGAAAGGCUGUCAAAAAUACUUAGCUCAUGUGGUGCUAAAUGAUGUUGUUUGGAGUAGUGUGAAUAAUGUCGAAAGAGUUAGACUUUUCUUGAUGUCUUCCUUGAAAGUAUACCUGGAUUGCCUUCAGGCAGAGAUGAGGUUCAUUAUUGAUUUGUUGCCAGGUAUAAAUUUAUAUUGGAGAUUGGUUCAGGAUGAGUUAAGGGAAUUGGAAAUUCAGUUGAAAGAAUUGGUUGAUAAAAGUUUCAUUCAACCUAGUACAACACUUUUGAGGAGCCCCAGUUUGUUGGUGAGAAAGAAAAUGGACUUAGAGAUUGUUCAUUGAUUAUAGACAAUGAAGUCGGGUAACGAUUAAGAACCGUUAUCUAUGGUGAUGUACUGAUGUUUAUUUAACCAGCUCAGAAGUAAUUGCGAAGAUUCAAAGAUUGAAUUGAGAUCUGGUUACUACCAAUUGAAUAUUAUAAGUGACGUUGAUCAUAAGAUGGUUUCUGGACUUGUUAUGAUCCUUAUAAAGUUUGGUGAUGCUAUGUGGAUACUCAUGCGGUUUUAUGAGUUGAUGGAUGAAGUAUUCCAAUAAUGCCUUGAUAAUUGAUAUCAUUUUCAUUGAAGAUAUUCUGGCAUAUUCUGAGCCAGAGCAGAGCAUGUAAACGUAUUAAGUCGGUAGAACAAAGAUUGGAAGAAUGUCGAUUGUAUGCUAAGUUUAGCAAAUGCGAAUGUUGGAUGAAUCAAGCAGCAUUUCUGGGAUAUGUUAUAUAUUCUUAAGGUAUUCAAGUGAAUCCUUAAAAGGUAACAGAAAUUAAAAUUUGGAACAACCACGAGUCGUAAUUGAGAUUUGGAAUUUCUUAGCUUACCAGGCUAUCUUGGAUGGUUGUGAAAGAUUUUUUCAGUCAUUGCUUUGUCAUUGACGAGACUGUUGAGAAAAGAGGUUAGGUAUGAGUGGGAAGGAAUUGUAAGCAAAGGAUUCAACAACUGAAGUAUUUCCACACUCAUGCACGUAUUUUGGUAUUCCCAGAGAAUAGUGGUAAUCAUAAAUUUUUAGUGAUGUUUCUUGAAUGGUAUUGGAGGCAUGUUGAUGCAAAUGUUAGGGUGAUUGCAUACGUUUCACGAUAAAUGGAAUCUCAUAAGAUGAAUUACCCUACUGGUGAUUUGGAAGUCACGAUUACCAUUCUUGCUGUGAAGUUAUGGAGACAUUAUAUUUUAGUGGGAAUGCAAGAUUUUUUUUUUUACGAAUCCAAAAAGUCUUCAAUAUCCAUUACUUGGAAGGAUUUUGAUAUGAGGCAGCGAAAGUGAAUUGUAUUGCUUAAUGAACAUGAUUGUACGAUCAGGGUGAUCGUAAAGUUUGUUCUAGCUGAAGCACUUGGUGAGAAGACUACAGUAAGAUUAAUAUCUGGCAUGUUUGCCAAGAGUAUCAUCUUGUGGAUUGAAAACCAACGGAAGAAAAAUUAAGGAUGGAAGAUCGAGAAGAAGUUAUACUUGUUAAGUAACAAGUUAGUACAUUUACUCCAGUGUUGAGUAACAACCUUUCCCAGACAGUGCAACACUACUUAUUUGUUUUAUGGAAAAGAGAAUUGGAUUACGGAACUGCUAAGUUUCUUAAGUAUGUUGGUUGUGCAGUUUCCGAAGUAACGCCAUAAGGACCAUGAAAUGUGUCACGUGAGUCAGUUUUUGAUGACUUGUGAAUGGAAUGUUUCUGGGUAGAGAAAGAUUCGAUCAAGAAAGAGUUUUAGUAGACCCUGAGACUAUGGAUGAGUCUCCUCAAAGUAUUCAGGUGAUUAAGUUAACCUGAAGUAACCAGGAAUGGCAAAAGAGAUCAACAGAUGGAUAUGCCACUAAUCGAGUGUGUAAGGUAAAUGGUUUGAUAUUUUUGGAAAAUUCACCACGAACAGAAAUGACGAGAAUUGGAAAAGAGACAAGAUAAGAUUUAGACACAUCAGACCAUUUUUUUUAUCACUAAAGGAAUCAAUAAAGUUGCAUACAAGUUUGUGAUGCCUUCAGAAUUGGCUAAGGCACAUAAUGUAUUUUGUGUUCGAUGCGUUGUCACUAAGUGGCAGGGUCGUUACAUGGGACUUUGGUGCAACUAUUGAGAAUUAAGCCGGAUAUGAUUGGUGAGGAACUAAUGUCGACGUUGGAUUGGAAAAAGAAGGUCCUAAGAAUUAAGACAGAGUAAGUAGUAAAAGCUUUGUGAAGGAAAUCAUUCAGUAGAAAAUUAUGUGGGAGAAAGAGAAUCGGAUGAGAUUUAUCCGAGGCUAUUGUAUGAGUAUAGAUGAUUUGGUUGGUUGCUGGAAUUUCGGGGACGAAAUUCUAUAAGGAGGGGAGAUUGUCACAGCCCGUCCCGGAAUUUUUAAUUCCGAGGACAUGAAAUUACGGAAAUGUCCCUAAUACGUGACUAAGGUAUAAUUUUCACGUUCGUUAUAUCUAAGCUCCAAAAAAAUUUGGUAAUUAGAGUGGAGACUUAGACUUAAAUUUUAUGAUGGAAUUUUAUGAAAUUGGGAUUGGUUUGGACAUGUGGGAUCCCCACACCUCAAAACCCUCCCCAUUUCCCGUAUACUGUCCUUCAUACUCUCUCUCUUCCUCAGACCUCACUCUCUCUCUCUCUCACCCUCUCGAACACACAGGCAACCACCCAAAACCACCUAAAACUUAUACCAACGUCGGAUUUAAAGCUACCAUGGCAUUCCUGAGGACUCCACGAUCACGUAGACACCAAUUUCAGGUAAGUUUUACUUCGGAAAACCUAGAUUCUAAACUCCCCGUGAAAGUGCACUGUUCAUGAUCUUCGAAUUGACUUUGUUUUAGGACAAUCCAAGCUCAUAGCAAGCUUGGUGAGGUCCCAAGGAAGCUCGGAGUGCUUCGUUGGAAGUUUUUGGACGUAAGAACACGGAGAUCGACAAGUUCAAAGUUUGGCCGGAGCUUUCGAGGCGUUUUCCGGCGAAUCCCCGGCGAGUUAGGAGUCAAGGUAGGUAUCAAUCUCUUCGUCUCGUCAAGUACUACAACUUUCCUUUUUGUUUCACUCAAUUUCGUUGAGUAUUGAAGAAGUUAUACGCAUUUGAAAAAUACCCAGUUUCCGGCGACCUCCGAGGCUUUCGAGGCAGUUUCCGGCCAAACCACGGCGAACUAGGUGUUGUGCAAGGUACCAUUAUCUUUUUCUCUUCAAGGGCUACAACUUUCGUUUUUGAAUCACUUGAUUUCGUUGAGAAAUGACAAAGUUAUGGCAAUUUGAAAAACUGCCCAGAAAACGGCCGCCGGAAAAACCAGUCCGGCGACCCAAGGAAGAAGAAGGUGCUACAGUAAAAAUAAAAAAUAAAAAUAAAAUUAUUUUAAAAAUAUAUGUCGACGUCCGUGACGUCGAGUAGAUCACUGUGGUAUAUUCAUAUACCUAAAUUGAACACCGUAUGAGAAAGUUAUUAAGGAUUGUUGGUUAGGUGUUCAAAUAACGUUUUAUAGUUUUCACAUUUAGGUGAAAAUGUGAAUUGAUGAUCCGACCG
Molecule: long non-coding RNA, 7386 nt
Filed under: Malus domestica (apple)
Lineage: Eukaryota; Viridiplantae; Streptophyta; Magnoliopsida; Rosales; Rosaceae
Description: long non-coding RNA (MDOM_LNC016293)
Source: RNAcentral